Calidris pugnax (ruff) is the source of this 1729-nucleotide long non-coding RNA. RefSeq lists it as uncharacterized. NCBI's taxonomy places the organism in Eukaryota, Metazoa, Chordata, Aves, Charadriiformes, Scolopacidae. The record is from RefSeq and is a predicted model, not a curated record. The transcript has 3 exons.
AGCGCGGCGGGGACGGCGCGGAAGGAAGGGCGGCCGGCUCUGAGGGGGGAGUCGCCGGAGCCGCGGGAAGCGGCGGCCCGGGGAAAGGGUCCCCUGAGGGCCGGCGGCGUCCGGGCUGACCCCUCGUCAGCAGGGAGGCCCCGCUGUCGGCGAGGGGUGAGGGGCACCUGUGAGCGCCUGGCGCUUGAAAUAGGAAGCGGGGAAGGGAGCACCGUCCGCAGGGCCCGGGGGCUGCGGCGGCAGAGGGGUGCGGGCGGCAGUCAUCCCUGCACCCGCUGCCCUGACGGUCGCCGCCGGUGAAACGCGCGUUUGCUGUCAGGCUGUGACUGCCUCCCUGAAUAGAGAACGGCAAGAACUAAUGGAAUUCCAAAACCCAUGGCUGAAAGAUCUCCACCUCGUGUGAGCAUUGUUACAAGACCUACAUCAGGCAGCGCGAUACCAUCAUGACAACAAAUUAAGAAGUCUUGCUCGAGGGAAAACUUUCUAUCUGGCAGAGUCUUACACGCUUUGAAGCUGCAUGAAGUGAGAAGGUUGGUUCCAUAAUCCGCGUAUCACUGGGCUACUGCCACCACAGAGAAAGUUUGACUGUAACCGGCUGUGACUUGAACGUCCUCCUUGGUGAGCUGGGCGUUGCGCUGCCUGUGUCCUUGGGAUCUUUAAAUAGUAGCCAAAAGCAGGCUGGCUGCUGCUGGUGUCAUCCCACCAACUUGAGAUACUUAACCAAGAUACCUGAGCGUGGUUGCUCCAAACUUCAUCUGUAGUCAGGAGAGAGACAGGCAGACAAUUGGUGAAAAUAAAUCAGAUAAUUUCUGCAAUUUUCAUCACUGGUGUGUUUUAAUGCCAACCUCAGUCUCCCCAUGAGUUAGUAGAAACACCCCCCCGGUAACACCACAGGAUAAAGCACAGCUUUUGGGUUGAAUCCAACAAACUUCUUCAUGCUUCUUGUACAGCCCCAAAAGAGAGAGAGAGAGAGAGAUGAGGGUGGGGAAUUAAUCCAUUAUAUCACAGCCAUCUGUCCAAAUUUAUGCAAUACUUUUCCACUUGGAAGUGUGUACUUUGGAAACAAGGUGAAGAAGACUUUGGGUGAGGUGGGCCAUCACAGGAUGACUAUAAAUUGCCAGCAUGAUGUGAACAAUGUGUUGUGAUCUGACGUGUGUCUGAAGUGUGUCCAUUGGAGACAGGAAUGCCACAGAAGGUGGUGGUGCAACCAUGCCUGCUAUCGUAUGCAAAAAUCCAGCACUCAUACUUGAAAAUAGGUUAAGUAAAAUUAGAAUAAUUUGAUUCUAGGAUGUUUAGGGAAAUGUUGAUCCAAGUUUUUUAGCUUGGCCUAUUAAGCCUAAUGAAACAAAUGGAGUGGAGAUAUGAUUGCUAUCUGCUCCAUCCAAUCAGGGAACAAAGGGAAUAGGAAACAUAAACAGGAAAAAAGAAAACCUUAAUCUUACAAGCAAUAUUGAUAUCAUGAUAAACAAUGAUAAGGUGGCCAUUAAUACCUUGGAAUGAAAAGGUUUCUCAUCACUAGCAACUGAAAUCAGGUUCCAGAAUUGCCUUGGCAUGAAAGCAAAUGGGACUUAAAAAUUGCUUGGCACAGCACUCUGUAAAAUUUAUGGGAAGAUUUACAUAACAAGGCUCCUGUGAUGGUAGGCUGGACACAACAAAUUAACAAGACCUUUCUACUCCUGAGAUCUUAAUACCAUGAAAGGGAAAGAAAUUAGGUGGCAUUAAGUAUCAG